RNAcentral lists this ribosomal RNA (486 nucleotides) under uncultured bacterium. RNAcentral's name for it is "partial 16S ribosomal RNA". It matches the Rfam family "Bacterial small subunit ribosomal RNA", at positions 30 to 507 of the family's 1533-position model. The record is from RNAcentral.
AUUGAACGCUGGCGGCAUGCCUUACACAUGCAAGUCGAACGGCAGCACGGGUGCUUGCACCUGGUGGCGAGUGGCGAACGGGUGAGUAAUACAUCGGAACAUGUCCUGUAGUGGGGGAUAGCCCGGCGAAAGCCGGAUUAAUACCGCAUACGAUCUACGGAUGAAAGCGGGGGACCUUCGGGCCUCGCGCUAUCGGGUUGGCCGAUGGCUGAUUAGCUAGUUGGUGGGGUAAAGGCCUACCAAGGCGACGAUCAGUAGCUGGUCUGAGAGGACGACCAGCCACACUGGGACUGAGACACGGCCCAGACUCCUACGGGAGGCAGCAGUGGGGAAUUUUGGACAAUGGGCGAAAGCCUGAUCCAGCAAUGCCGCGUGUGUGAAGAAGGCCUUCGGGUUGUAAAGCACUUUUGUCCGGAAAGAAAUCCUUGGCCCUAAUACGGUCGGGGGAUGACGGUGCCGGAAGAAUAAGCACCGGCUAACUACGUG